CGUAGGUGAACCUGCGGAAGGAUCAUUGA
Molecule: ribosomal RNA, 29 nt
Filed under: Lathrophytum peckoltii
Lineage: Eukaryota; Viridiplantae; Streptophyta; Magnoliopsida; Santalales; Balanophoraceae
Description: partial 18S ribosomal RNA
Source: RNAcentral